This 1000-nucleotide small RNA is filed under the name Histoplasma ohiense. Its description in RNAcentral is "hypothetical lncRNA". The record is from RNAcentral. Lineage: Eukaryota; Fungi; Ascomycota; Eurotiomycetes; Onygenales; Ajellomycetaceae.
GGCUUCUAUUUUAUACUUACCAAGUUAACUUAAUAACUAAAUGAUUGGCAACGGCAGCUUCAAGUUAUCAAUAACCCAUAUUAUUCAUGGUGAAUUUGAUGAAGCUUGAAUCCUCACACUCGGAUUCGAUUUGAUAAACCUCAAUCUUCUCCUGCUCAAACAUCCUCUCCCCGUCCUCUCGAUUCAGUCGAUGAACACCCAUGUUUUCACCUGUGGUGCACGCCAGUCACCGGUGAGCAGUCGUAUGACCAUUAUUGAGACAUUACAUUACAUCAAUGAGAAACUGUCUCAGCACGACGGAAGAUCAUUAAGAACAUUUGUUUCGUAAUUUGAGCAGUAUCUGCCUUGCUGCGCAGCCCCCUGACACGGCCGAUUGAAUAAAAUAAAACAAGUCUCGCUAGCAGCGCAACCUGUCCUACAUGGCCGAUGCAUGGUAUGGUGGAUAUGGUCCAGGAUAUCCCAACGCAGAUGAAUUUUCAGUCAUAUUACAUACAGUACAGUGGGUGCUAUGGCCCGUCUUGACCGUCCGAAAACUCAGGAACGAACAAAGGGCCUACAGUUAAGGGCAUAUUCAUUUUAACGUACAGAUAAACAAAUCGUUGGCAAAAGGCAAACCAGUCUACGGAUGAUCUUGAGCUAUGUACGGCUUUCUGCGCCUGUGUCGAACAAGAUCUUCGAGCACGCAGGGAUUUUUCCACGCUCGAAGUCCCAUGCAGUAUAAUCUUCUUAUACAAUAGUGUAUUACUUGAAAAUCAUGAGACGAUCGCUAUCAAUGAAUGCGCUCGAGUCUAUUAAAGUGUAGAUCAUAAAACAAGAAGGGUUGGAUAUGAACAGACAACGGUUGGACAAUAAAAAGGAACAAAAAGUAUAAAAUUAAAUAAAACAAGCCGUGAACUCCAUUUCAUAGACCCAGGACUCUAAACCCUCAUCCCAUCGUUAAACGCCAGCACCCAGUAGCUCAGCGUCGUUGAGUCUUGCCCAUGCCACGUUUCCCAGAGAA